UGAGUGGCGGACGGGUGAGUAACGCGUGGGCAACCUGGCCUGUACAGGGGAGUAACACUUAGAAAUAGGUGCUAAUACCGCAUAACGGGGGAAGCCGCAUGGCUUUUCCCUGAAAACUCCGGUGGUACAGGAUGGGCCCGCGUCUGAUUAGCCAGUUGGCAGGGUAACGGCCUACCAAAGCGACGAUCAGUAGCCGGCCUGAGAGGGCGGACGGCCACACUGGGACUGAGACACGGCCCAGACUCCUACGGAAGGCAGCAG
This 261-nucleotide ribosomal RNA is filed under the name uncultured bacterium. Its description in RNAcentral is "partial 16S ribosomal RNA". It matches the Rfam family "Bacterial small subunit ribosomal RNA", at positions 92 to 354 of the family's 1533-position model. The record is from RNAcentral.